CCUACGGGUGGCAGCAGUGGGGAAUAUUGGACAAUGGGGGCAACCCUGAUCCAGCCAUGCCGCGUGUGUGAAGAAGGCCCUCGGGUUGUAAAGCACUUUCAGUGAGGAAGAACGCCUGGUGGUUAAUACCCAUCAGGAAAGACAUCACUCACAGAAGAAGCACCGGCUAACUCCGUGCCAGCAGCCGCGGUAAUACGGAGGGUGCGAGCGUUAAUCGGAAUUACUGGGCGUAAAGCGCGCGUAGGUGGCUUGAUAAGCCGGUUGUGAAAGCCCCGGGCUCAACCUGGGAACGGCAUCCGGAACUGUCAAGCUAGAGGGCAGGAGAGGAAGGUAGAAUUCCCGGUGUAGCGGUGAAAUGCGUAGAGAUCGGGAGGAAUACCAGUGGCGAAGGCGGCCUUCUGGACUGACACUGACACUGAGGUGCGAAAGCGUGGGUAGCAAACAGGAUUAGAUACCCCUGUAGUC
This 465-nucleotide ribosomal RNA is filed under the name Vreelandella stevensii. RNAcentral describes it as "partial 16S ribosomal RNA". It matches the Rfam family "Bacterial small subunit ribosomal RNA", at positions 338 to 795 of the family's 1533-position model. Lineage: Bacteria; Pseudomonadati; Pseudomonadota; Gammaproteobacteria; Oceanospirillales; Halomonadaceae. The record is from RNAcentral.